GGAGGGAUGGCCGAGUGGUUGAAGGCACACGAUUCGAAAUCGUGGAACCCGUAAGGGUUCGGGGGUUCGAAUCCCUCUCCCUCCG
RNAcentral lists this transfer RNA (85 nucleotides) under bacterium. RNAcentral's name for it is "tRNA-Ser". It matches the Rfam family "tRNA". From Rfam's summary of the family: Transfer RNA (tRNA) molecules are approximately 80 nucleotides in length. Their secondary structure includes four short double-helical elements and three loops (D, anti-codon, and T loops). Further hydrogen bonds mediate the characteristic L-shaped molecular structure. tRNAs have two regions of fundamental functional importance: the anti-codon, which is responsible for specific mRNA codon recognition, and the 3' end, to which the tRNAs corresponding amino acid is attached (by aminoacyl-tRNA synthetases). tRNAs cope with the degeneracy of the genetic code in two manners: having more than one tRNA (with a specific anti-codon) for a particular amino acid; and 'wobble' base-pairing, i.e. permitting non-standard base-pairing at the 3rd anti-codon position. RNAcentral also lists the same sequence under 2 other names. The record is from RNAcentral.